This is a non-coding RNA of Oryza glumipatula, 202 nucleotides long. NCBI's taxonomy places the organism in Eukaryota, Viridiplantae, Streptophyta, Magnoliopsida, Poales, Poaceae. The record is from Rfam.
AAUAAGUGCAGCCAUUAGUUUCCGCGCCUAAUUUUGAUCGUCCGUCUUAUUUAAAAUUUUUUUAUAAUUAGCAUUUUUGUUAUUAUAAAAUGAUAAAACAUGAAUAGUACUUUACUCGUGACUUAUGUUUUUAAUUUUUUUCAAAAAAUUUUCAAAUAAGACGAGUUAAAGUUGGGCGCGGAAAACCAUGGUUGCACUUGUU